RNAcentral lists this long non-coding RNA (370 nucleotides) under Phoenix dactylifera (date palm). Its description in RNAcentral is "long non-coding RNA (PDAC_LNC021960)". The record is from RNAcentral. Lineage: Eukaryota; Viridiplantae; Streptophyta; Magnoliopsida; Arecales; Arecaceae.
AAUGAUCACUCUUGGAAAAUAUGUAUAUUCUUGUCUAUGCUUGGCUGAUUUUAAUCAUUUUUCUCAUUUUCAUCACUCGCUAGAUUUCAAAAUCAUCUUGAUUGAGGCUAAAAAAUGUUUAGGUAAUCCUCUAAUCGAUCUAAAUCAUGGUCGACUGACUACAAGGGAAAAUCAAUAAGUGCAUGGCAUUGAUUAUUGUUGCUAUAAUAAUAGAUGGUUGCAAGAUUAUGUUGUGGCCAGACAACAAGUCUAAAUGGUUAAGGCAACAAGAUUUUGGUUGUUUAGGUUCCUUAUUCCUUGCGGUCUUCUUGGCCCAGCUUUUCCUCCCAUACUUAGGCUCUACCCUCUCUCCCCGAAUGUUUCUCUCAUC